AAAUAGUAAGAAUUUGACAUAAAUAAAUAGUCAGAUAUAAAGUUGGUGAGGUUAUUUCAGACUAGUAGGUAAAUAUCAUUAGAAGAGAGUCGCCAAAUAGUCUAUAGUCGUGCAAUAUAAAGCUGAAAACGUGAGGGAAUUAUAAAUAGUCAGAAUGUCAGGUGGGAAAGUGACAGUGCAUCCAAUAACAAACAACCCCACAGAAGCAUGGGAGCAGAUUCGACCAUCGCAGCGCACCAUCAAGCUCAAUGUGAAAACCCCCACCACCCCUCCUGAUGAGAGAAUGUUGCGUUUUGUGUGCAUGAGUGACACACACAGUCUCACAUCGCACAUCCAGCUGGACAUACCGGAUGGUGAUGUCUUCAUUCAUGCUGGAGAUUUCACGAGAUGUGGUAGUGCUGUUGAGGUCGAAGAAUUUAACAACUGGAUAGGUGCUCUUCCACACAAGCAUAAGGUUGUUAUAGCUGGUAAUCACGAGUUAAGCUUUGACAGCAAGUUCACAACCACCUCAAGGCAGCAUCACAAAACAGCACAUACAGGAGACAGUCUUAUCAAUGAGAUUCCUGAUCUAGGGAUGGAACGGGAGGAAUUGUGCGCAGCCGUUGCCGAGCAAAAUGCAAUUGAUUUGGUGACCAAUGCCAUCUACUUACAGGAUCAGGCUCUUACAAUAAGUGGCAUCAGACUCUAUGGAACUCCAUGGCAACCAGAGUACUGCAACUGGGCCUUCAACCUACCGAGAGGCAAGUCCUGCCUGGAGAAGUGGGAUGCCAUACCAGAGGACACAGACAUCCUGAUUACGCAUACCCCUCCUGUGGGUCAUGGUGAUCUCUGCUGUACAGGUGUGAGGGCGGGAUGUGUCGACCUCCUGUCCACUGUGCAAACCAGGGUCAAACCUAAGUACCAUGUUUUUGGGCACAUUCAUGAAGGUUAUGGCGUGACAACGGAUGGAAAAAUUAUUUUCAUCAAUGCUUCAACCUGCAACAUCAAUUUUGUUCCCAUCAAUCCACCCAUUGUGUUUGAUGUUCCUAUUCCCUCAGGCUUUUCAAAAUGACCAACCACAUUUACUGCCUAGGAUGGGGUGCAGAUGUGGCUUCUUUUUGUUGCUUAUGGUGGAAUAAACCUAAGAUACUGAAUGAGUUUUGAAAAUUUGUGAUGUUUCAAUAUAAAAGAAAAACAAGAACUCAUCAGUUCUUAGAGAAUUGCAGUCACAUGGGCAGAAAAGAUUAGUUAAACUGAAAACAAUCAGCAACUGCAUUUAAGGUGAGGAAGACUGGAGGUUUUCCCUGCUGUUGAUAAACUUAGCAUUCCCAGUGGUUCCUGGAAAACAGUUUUUAGGUAAAACCUUUUUCCCAUUUAGACAAGCCUACUGUAUCCUUCUUUUGAUUUAUUCCAUGUAUUAUUAUUAUUAUUAUUUAUUUUAUGGAAUGACCAUGUACCUUAUACUCUCUAUCUAUACUGUAGAUUUCAUGCUUAAUUCAGCAUAAAGCUAAGCCUAGUCUAACUUUAUUUAGACCUAGCCAAGCUUAGUCUAACUUCAGUGAGACCUCAGAAAGCUUUGUCUAACUGGAUCUCUCAUCACAUCUGUAAUUAAAAACCUAAUAUUCUCGUCUAGACAGUCUGUCCUCAAUGUGAAAUACUCUCUUAAUCAUUAUAACUUGGACAACCUAUUCCAGUGCAAUCAAGUAAAAGUAAAACAUGCUUUUAACCUGACUUAAUCAAGUAAUAUGUAACCUAGUUGAACCUGACUUGACCCAAGGCAGACCAUACUAAAUGAAGAUUGUCAUCUACUUUAGUCAACUUUGUACCUGUGGUAUAAGUAGCAGAGUAGAAACUUAAGAUAAGUCUAUAUCAGUAAUCAAUUUGCUUCUGUGAAUAGACUAUGACCCAAAGAUAAGUUAUUAUUUUAUGUUGAUAUAUUUUUUCUUAUAAU
This 1930-nucleotide unclassified non-coding RNA is filed under the name Penaeus japonicus. RNAcentral describes it as "metallophosphoesterase MPPED2-like, transcript variant X1". The record is from RNAcentral. Lineage: Eukaryota; Metazoa; Arthropoda; Malacostraca; Decapoda; Penaeidae.